AACUGUAGAUGUAACUAUCCAAGUAUCAUUUUCCUUAGCAUCCUCUGUCCUUUUCUUGUUAUCUUUCUCUGAAUUUCUCUUUUACCUCUAUAAGUGCAUAACAUAUGGUAUUUGAGCGCAAAUAGAGUAGGUAAUCGCAAGCAUAUGCAAACCCAAUAUGCAAAGGAUCAUAUUUGUUACAGAGAGAAGGAUACCUCUGCAGUCACGACAUUGCAAAAAUGCAAAGAAUCAUAUAUCUGCCUCUUUUCCAUAUAAUGCCAAUGUGUUCCAUAUUAAAUAAUUAAACAACCUGAAGGUAGCAAUGUGCACGACAUAACAGAGAAAUUCCAAUAAGGCAAUAAAUAACUUUCAUAAGAACACAUAUCUAGAGAGUGACAAAGAAAGAAUUAGGCCACAUCACUUCCAACAGGAAGAAACCCAAAAGGGAGUGGGAAGGAACCUAACCUACAUAGUCAACAACACAGAUGACCCAACAACUAACCCUGCUGAAGCAAGAAGGUUAAGAUACAAGGAGUGGUAAACUCAGAGUCAUUGAACAAAGAGAUUUAGAUGGUUCAAGGAAGUUUAAUCUAAGAAGGGAUAGAAUAAACCAUAACAUCAAAAUAAAAAUGUACGAACAAACGUGGAUGAGAGAGAGAGAAAGAACUCAUCCUAUUCCCCAUCACCAAACUCUUCGUCGGGAUUCUUUCUCUGCUUUUCAGAUUUUCAUACAUCAUGCCUAGGAAAACAAUAAACCCAACAUUGAAAUCAAAUAAUCAAAGAACCAAAAAAAUAGGGGGAAGAAGAUGGCGAGACGCAGAUGUGCAACCUAAGUUGGGGACGAUGACGAGGGCCCACGAGUAGCGUCCGGCACGUGACGCAAGCGCCGUUUGGAACACCAGCUUCUCUGCUCCUUCCCAGGUGACGUCCUCCUCUGCUCCUUCCCCCACCGUCGUCCUCCUUUGCUACUGGGCAGCGACUGGCUGCUGCCCCUGCUCCCCUCGCCCCGCAUAGUCAAGGAGAAGGGUAGCAACGAGGAGGGACCGCCACGGCGCGCGUUGAGGGAGAAGAACGUCGUCUCAAUCCUGGCUGAAACUUUAACUCCUUUUUUUAUGAUGAGAACAUGAUGCUCCUUUUAGCAUUACUUCAUUUUUAAACAGGUCUCAAUCAUGGCUGAAACUUUAACUCCUCUUUCUGAUGAGAACAUGAUGCUAUCUUGAUGUAGAUUAAUUCACCAUGGCAUCUUGUUUUAACAUACAGUUUUUUCUCUAAACAUGAAAAUCUAUACGUACAGAUAUACAUAACCCUGAAGCUGAGUGAUGUUAAAUUAGACUGAAGUUUACUAAGUACCCUUUAUAUAAAUAAAUGCAAUUUUUCCUCUGAACCAAACAUCAAACAACACAAUAGCAGCCAACCACAAGUUUCAUUCAAUCAAUAGUCUAUUUAUGGUACCCUCAAGCAUAAAGGAUUUACCUUGACUACCCGAAGUUAUCUGAAUCUGAAAGGAGAAUGGAUUUGCUCACCUAAGCUCUAGGGCGUGGACAACGGCUGGUGAUGGCCUUCGGGUUUGGCGUGCUCCCACAAUGACCAUGGUGCCUCCUGGUGCCCCUCGACGCGCCUCCUGGUGCUCAUGGCCCUCCACCCCGACCUCGUGCUGACUGCCGCUCAUGGAGGGCCAUGUCUUCAGCUUGCUGCAGCUGCAUGCAUUGCGAUGAGAUGCGCGCCGGCUGGCACGGCUGCUGCUCCCCUCCUCCUGAUAAGCCAUAACCAUUUGCACACUUUAGAAUGAAAUUAAUUAGAAAUCUUGAUUGGGGG
RNAcentral lists this long non-coding RNA (1794 nucleotides) under Triticum aestivum (bread wheat). RNAcentral describes it as "long non-coding RNA (TAES_LNC015719)". Lineage: Eukaryota; Viridiplantae; Streptophyta; Magnoliopsida; Poales; Poaceae. The record is from RNAcentral.